GACGAACGCUGGCGGCGUGCUUAACACAUGCAAGUCGAACGGACAGGCCCUGCUUUUGUGGGGUGCUCGAGUGGCGAACGGGUGAGUAACACGUGAGUAUCCUGCACUUGACUUUGGGAUAACUUCUGGAAACUGGGGCUAAUAUCCGAUAGGAGCUCCUGCUGCAUGUUGGUGGUUGGAAAGUUUCGGCGGUGGGGGAUAGACUCGCGGCUUAUCAGCUUGUUUGUGGAGUAGUGGUUUACCAAGGGUUUGACGGAUAGCCGGCCUGAGAGGGUUGCCGGCGACCAGGGGCCUAAGGGACGGAGCAGAAUCGAACGGGAGGCAGCAGUGGAGAAUAUUGCGGAAUGGCGCGAAGUCUGAUGUAGCAGUGCCGGGUGCGGGAUGCCGGGUUUCGGGGGAAAAACCGCUGUGUCAGGUAACAAAGAGGGAUUGACGGUAAUUGGUAAAGAAGCACCGGCUAACUACGUG
Molecule: ribosomal RNA, 468 nt
Filed under: uncultured bacterium
Lineage: Bacteria
Description: partial 16S ribosomal RNA
Rfam family: Bacterial small subunit ribosomal RNA
Source: RNAcentral